Molecule: ribosomal RNA, 301 nt
Filed under: uncultured bacterium
Lineage: Bacteria
Description: partial 16S ribosomal RNA
Rfam family: Bacterial small subunit ribosomal RNA
Source: RNAcentral
CAGUAGCCACGGUAAUGCGAAGGGGGCUAGCGUUGUUCGGAUUUACUGGGCGUAAAGCGGGCGCAGGCGGUUUCUUAAGUCUGAUGUGAAAGCCCCCGGCUCAACCGGGGAGGGUCAUUGGAAACUGGGAAACUUGAGUGCAGAAGAGGAGAGUGGAAUUCCACGUGUAGCGGUGAAAUGCGUAGAGAUGUGGAGGAACGCCAGUGGCGAAGGCGACUCUCUGGUCUGUAACUGACGCUGAGGAGCGAAAGCGUGGGGAGCGAACAGGAUUAGAUACCCGGGUAGUCCCUGUCUCUUAUAC